GCCAGACUCCUACGGGAGGCAGCAGUGAGGAAUAUUGGUCAAUGGGCUUACGCCUGAACCAGCCAAGUCGCGUGAGGGAAGACUGCCCUAUGGGUUGUAAACCUCUUUUGUCAGGGAGCAACGCCGGCUACGUGUAGCCGGACUGAGAGUACCUGAAGAAAAAGCAUCGGCUAACUCCGUGCCAGCAGCCGCGGUAAUACGGAGGAUGCGAGCGUUAUCCGGAUUUAUUGGGUUUAAAGGGUGCGUAGGCGGAAUAUCAAGUCAGCGGUAAAAAGUCGGGGCUCAACCCCGUCGUGCCGUUGAAACUGAUGUUCUUGAGUGGGCGAGAAGUAUGCGGAAUGCGUGGUGUAGCGGUGAAAUGCAUAGAUAUCACGCAGAACUCCGAUUGCGAAGGCAGCGUACCGGCGCCCAACUGACGCUGAAGCACGAAGGCGUGGGGAUCGAACAGGAUUAGAUACCCGCGUAAAC
RNAcentral lists this ribosomal RNA (468 nucleotides) under uncultured bacterium. RNAcentral describes it as "bacterial SSU rRNA". It matches the Rfam family "Bacterial small subunit ribosomal RNA", at positions 330 to 795 of the family's 1533-position model. The record is from RNAcentral.